UCCGUUAUGGUGUAGUGGUUAACAUUAUCGCCUCUCAUUACAGGGACAGGUAAUGUUGACGCGAUAGCCCAGGGUUCGAUUCCCUGUAACGGAA
Non-coding RNA from Marasmius fiardii PR-910, 94 nucleotides. Lineage: Eukaryota; Fungi; Basidiomycota; Agaricomycetes; Agaricales; Marasmiaceae. The record is from the annotation of a GenBank genome assembly.